Molecule: long non-coding RNA, 589 nt
Filed under: Marmota monax (woodchuck)
Lineage: Eukaryota; Metazoa; Chordata; Mammalia; Rodentia; Sciuridae
Source: RNAcentral
GUGCUGAAUUGCACUACUCGAGUAAUCUUUGUACAUUUCCUGUUUUUCUGGUUAUAAAUACAGUUCACCACGUUGUAGGUGCGGGGCAUUCUGAACCAUUAUUGGCUUGAUGCACUGCCUAGUUCCAUGUAUUUGUUGUUUAAAUAAGCUUUUAAAGUUAAUUCAUCUUGGUUUUUUGUUUAACAAAUUGGCAUAGUUAGUAGGGUCCAAAGUAGAACUUACAUUGUUUCCCAGAAGCAUCAAGCCUCUGCACGAACUACCCACAACCGCACUUUGGGCCUGCUGAUGUCUUAAAGCAUCUAAAGGCCCUGGGUUAAGUUUCUUGGAUCUCAUGCUUCCACUCAUUUCGGGUUUUCAGCUCUACAAGUUUAUCUGAGCAAACUUUGUUAUUCUUUUCUCUUUCUCCCCUCACCCUACUUUCUUCCCACCCCACUUUCCUGAAUUGGAUUCAGUUAAGACGCCUCAGUUGUUUUUUAACAGACAAAAUAUGAAUUGGGUUUCAAGUCAAAUUGGACUUAACACUUUUAACUGGAAUAGAUCCAGUUAAGGGACUCAGAUAGAUUGUUUUUUGUUUAUUUGCUUAUUUUGG